This is a long non-coding RNA of Nycticebus coucang (slow loris), 508 nucleotides long. RefSeq lists it as uncharacterized. The record is from RefSeq and is a predicted model, not a curated record. The transcript has 3 exons. NCBI's taxonomy places the organism in Eukaryota, Metazoa, Chordata, Mammalia, Primates, Lorisidae.
AAGGGAUCAGUGUGUUCGCUGACGUUCUGUGUUCUGAGCAGCGCGUUCUGAGUUCCAGCAUCAGGAGCCUCCAUGACCAGCCUGACCUGAGCACCUACAGGCAGCACCAGCAUGGGUACUACAAGAGGGCAUACACACUACUCAGACUAUGAUGAAAUUAAUGGCCUGAUUCUUCACCCUUGUUGGUAUCCACCAUCUCAGCCAUGCAACUUUGCACUGCUCUACUACUCAGCAGCAGGUCAAGUGCUGACCCAGCACCCCUUUGCACCAGUCUUUCAAACCCUGGCCACACUAACUAAUCAACCUGAUUGCUGUUUAUGCCAAGAUCUAGACCAUGCAAAGCAACCUGAAUUCAUUUUCAUCCCUGCUGAUGUCAGUGCCUGGUGGAACCAAUCUGGAAAAAGCAUGAAUGAUAAUAUGUGGUAUCCACAGCCAGAGAAGAAGCAACAUACGACUUCACCUGCUGGUGAGACAACUGGUCUGUAAAAACUGUGGAGAUAUCUUUUGC